GACGAACGCUGGCGGCGUGCUUAACACAUGCAAGUCGAACGGAAAGGCCCUGCUUUUGUGGGGUGCUCGAGUGGCGAACGGGUGAGUAACACGUGAGUAACCUGCCCUUGACUUUGGGAUAACUUCAGGAAACUGGGGCUAAUACCGGAUAGGAGCUCCUGCUGCAUGGUGGGGGUUGGAAAGUUUCGGCGGUUGGGGAUGGACUCGCGGCUUAUCAGCUUGUUGGUGGGGUAGUGGCUUACCAAGGCUUUGACGGGUAGCCGGCCUGAGAGGGUGACCGGCCACAUUGGGACUGAGAGACGGCCCAGACUCCUACGGUAGGCAGCAGUAGGGAAUAUUGCACAAUGGGCGGAAGCCUGAUGCAGCAACGCCGCGUGCGGGAUGACGGCCUUCGGGUUGUAAACCGCUUUCGCCUGUGACGAAGCGUGAGUGACGGUAAUGGGUAAAGAAGCACCGGCUAACUACGUG
Molecule: ribosomal RNA, 468 nt
Filed under: uncultured bacterium
Lineage: Bacteria
Description: partial 16S ribosomal RNA
Rfam family: Bacterial small subunit ribosomal RNA
Source: RNAcentral